RNAcentral lists this unclassified non-coding RNA (393 nucleotides) under uncultured Cladophialophora. RNAcentral's name for it is "sequence contains ITS2". The stretch from base 1 to 155 matches the Rfam family "5.8S ribosomal RNA". The record is from RNAcentral. Lineage: Eukaryota; Fungi; Ascomycota; Eurotiomycetes; Chaetothyriales; Herpotrichiellaceae.
AAAUUUUGACAAUGGAUCACUUGGUUCUGGCAUCGAUGAAGAACGCAGCGAAAUGCGAUAAGUAAUGCGAAUUGCAGAAUUCCAGUGAGUCAUCGAAUCUUUGAACGCACAUUGCGCCCUUUGGUAUUCCGAAGGGCAUGCCUGUUCGAGCGUCAUUAUCACCCCUCAAGCCCUGUGCUUGGUGUUGGACGGCCGGUCGAGCGAUCGACCCCUCCUAAAGACAAUGACGGCGGCCUGUGGUUCCCCCGGUACACUGAGCUUCUCACCGAGCAUGUAUCGGACAAGGGCACCCGGGACCCGGUCCUCUCCUUUCAUAUAAGGAAACUUUCUAUGGUUGACCUCGGAUCAGGUAGGAAUACGCGCUGAACUUAAGCAUAUCAAUAAGCGGAGGCU